Molecule: microRNA precursor, 164 nt
Organism: Medicago truncatula (barrel medic)
Lineage: Eukaryota; Viridiplantae; Streptophyta; Magnoliopsida; Fabales; Fabaceae
Rfam family: MIR2606 microRNA precursor family
Source: Rfam
AAAACUUAGGUACAAUUCCUUAGGUGCUUUUCGUAUGGUUCUUAAAUAGAAAUACAUAUUUUUUAGAUAUAACAAACUAUGAGAAAAUUAUGGAAUUAAGGAAAUUACGGUGAAUUUAAUUAAGAACCAUACGAAAAGCACCUAAAGAAUUGUACCUAAGUUUU